GGCUCAGGAUGAACGCUAGCUACAGGCUUAACACAUGCAAGUCGAGGGGAAACGAUUAUUGGAAGCUUGCUUCCGAUAGGCGUCGACCGGCGCACGGGUGAGUAACGCGUAUCCAACCUGCCCAUCACUUGGGGAUAACCUUGCGAAAGUAAGACUAAUACCCAAUGACGUCUCUAGAAGACAUCUGAAAGAGAUUUAAAGAUUUAUCGGUGAUGGAUGGGGAUGCGUCUGAUUAGCUUGUUGGCGGGGUAACGGCCCACCAAGGCGACGAUCAGUAGGGGUUCUGAGAGGAAGGUCCCCCACAUUGGAACUGAGACACGGUCCAAACUCCUACGGGAGGCAGCAGUGAGGAAUAUUGGUCAAUGGACGAGAGUCUGAACCAGCCAAGUAGCGUGCAGGAAGACGGCCCUAUGGGUUGUAAACUGCUUUUAUAAGGGAAUAAAGUGAGUCUCGUGAGACUUUUUGCAUGUACCUUAUGAAUAAGGACCGGCUAAUUCCGUG
This 501-nucleotide ribosomal RNA is filed under the name uncultured bacterium. Its description in RNAcentral is "bacterial SSU rRNA". It matches the Rfam family "Bacterial small subunit ribosomal RNA", at positions 21 to 507 of the family's 1533-position model. The record is from RNAcentral.